This 159-nucleotide unclassified non-coding RNA is filed under the name soil metagenome. RNAcentral describes it as "partial internal transcribed spacer 1". The record is from RNAcentral.
UAAUAAGUGUUUUAUGGCACUUUUUAAAUCCAUAUCCACCUUGUGUGCAAUGUCGGUCGAUCUUCUUUUUUUGAGGAUCGACCAAAAUCAAAUCUAAACGGCUUUUAUUUAUUUUUAACUCUUUGUCUGAAAAAUAUUAUGAAUAAACAAUUCAAAAUA